AACGAACGCUGGCGGCAUGCCUAACACAUGCAAGUCGAACGAGACCUUCGGGUCUAGUGGCGCACGGGUACGUAACGCGUGGGAACCUGCCCUUAGGUUCGGAAUAACUCCCCGAAAGGGGUGCUAAUACCGGAUAAUGUCUUCGGACCAAAGAUUUAUCGCCUUUGGAUGGGCCCGCGUUGGAUUAGCUAGUUGGUAGGGUAAAAGCCUACCAAGGUGACGAUCCAUAGCUGGUCUGAGAGGAUGAUCAGCCACACUGGGACUGAGACACGGCCCAGACUCCUACGGGAGGCAGCAGUGGGGAAUAUUGGACAAUGGGCGAAAGCCUGAUCCAGCAAUGCCGCGUGAGUGAUGAAGGCCUUAGGGUUGUAAAGCUCUUUUACCCGGGAUGAUAAUGACAGUACCGGGAGAAUAAGCUCCGGCUAACUCCGUG
This 433-nucleotide ribosomal RNA is filed under the name uncultured bacterium. Its description in RNAcentral is "partial 16S ribosomal RNA". It matches the Rfam family "Bacterial small subunit ribosomal RNA", at positions 29 to 507 of the family's 1533-position model. The record is from RNAcentral.